RNAcentral lists this long non-coding RNA (1057 nucleotides) under Oryctolagus cuniculus (rabbit). RNAcentral describes it as "lncRNA (ENSOCUG00000035258.1)". The record is from RNAcentral. Lineage: Eukaryota; Metazoa; Chordata; Mammalia; Lagomorpha; Leporidae.
AUGGUUGGAGGGGGGUUGCUUUCCCAGAAUGCAGUCUCAAGUGCUCCAAAAUGGAGUCCCUACUGUCAAGGUGCUACUUUACUCUGUCUUAUUUUCACAGCUGCACCAGGAAGGUUUAAACCUGUAAGCUUAAGCUUAACUUUUUACACCCGCACAUAUACAAUUUUAACUCUUCAAUCCAGCUGUAGUUUAUUUGUGAUAGGCAGCAAGCAGCACACCCAGCAGCAGGAGGGCUGGUGGACUCUGUGUUGCUCCCAGGACGGUGGCCGGGGGGGUUCCUUAGGGACAACCUGCCCAGCUGCCCUUCCUGACUGUGAGCGUCAGAGAGUCCGCAUCCUCCACUGCUGCACCCAGGACGCGGCCCUCCCCAGCAGCCGGGUCACCCCCAACGGAGCCCAGUCUGAGGGCCCUUCUGGGGACUAGGCCAGCCUCUUUCCUGACAACGAGCACACAGCCACUCACUCCACACUUUUGCAUUUCCCUACUGCAUGGAGACGUUGCCCUUCUCUGACUCAGCCCACCCCUGGCUCCCAGCCACUAUGCUCCUCACUGGACCUUCCCCGCCCUUCUCAUUAGGACCUACUGCAAGCACUCUGUUUGGAAAUCCAUCUUCUGUAGGGUGAAUCCUGACAGUCAUGUGACCCAUCUGGACCAUCGGCUGCUCUGCUUGAGUCCCAAACAACCUUGAACUCAGACCUUUCCCAACCAACUAGUCACAUGCAGCCCUAAAAUGGGUUAGUUUGGUCUUUAACUGACCAGCUCAUUGUGAACAGUUAUUGCCCAUGAACGAAGGCAGGAGGCCACUGCACUAGCGUUUGGGGGCUCAGGACAUGAAUGAAGCUGGCAUGUCCCCACCAUCUGCUGACUGCUGGUUUGAGUGACAGGCUGAAUGGCUGGACCAUGGCUGCCUGAGAAUGGUCAGUGGCCCCACUGGCCCGAAACCUGCGCCGUCUAGUUGAAAAUGAACAUUACGGGAAAAUGGAGUUAAAAGGUAGGUUUUUGGUGCAAAACUUUAUUUUUUUAACUUUAUUUAAUAAAUAUAAAUUUCCAAAGUGCA